This 630-nucleotide ribosomal RNA is filed under the name uncultured bacterium. RNAcentral's name for it is "bacterial SSU rRNA". It matches the Rfam family "Bacterial small subunit ribosomal RNA", at positions 42 to 672 of the family's 1533-position model. The record is from RNAcentral.
UUAUGCUUAACACAUGCAAGUCGAACGGAGAAAUAGGAAGGAAUCCCUUCGGGGAGGAAUUCCUAAUUCUUAGCGGCGGACGGGUGCGUAACACGUGGGUAACCUGCCCUUAUCACCGGGAUAACACACUGAAAAGUGUGCUAAUACCGGAUAACAUCAACUUAUGGCAUCAUAAGAUGAUCAAAGCGUUAGCGGAUAAGGAUGGGCCCGCGUCUGAUUAGCUAGUUGGUAGAGUAACGGCCUACCAAGGCAACGAUCAGUAGCCGACCUGAGAGGGUGAUCGGCCACACUGGAACUGAGACACGGUCCAGACUCCUACGGGAGGCAGCAGUGGGGAAUAUUGCACAAUGGGCGAAAGCCUGAUGCAGCAACGCCGCGUGAGCGAUGAAGGCCUUCGGGUCGUAAAGCUCUGUCCUAUGGGAAGAUAAUGACGGUACCAUAGGAGGAAGCCCCGGCUAACUACGUGCCAGCAGCCGCGGUAAUACGUAGGGGGCAAGCGUUAUCCGGAAUUACUGGGCGUAAAGGGUGCGUAGGCGGUUUAUCAAGUCAGGGGUGAAAGGCUACGGCUCAACCGUAGUAAGCCUCUGAAACUGGUGAACUUGAGUGUAGGAGAGGAAAGUGGAAUUCCCA